Triticum dicoccoides is the source of this 409-nucleotide long non-coding RNA. RefSeq lists it as uncharacterized. The record is from RefSeq and is a predicted model, not a curated record. Lineage: Eukaryota; Viridiplantae; Streptophyta; Magnoliopsida; Poales; Poaceae. The transcript has 3 exons.
AAAUUCUGGCGGACGAUGGCAGCCACCCGCGCACGAGUGCCUCUUUUUCCCGCGUUGGUCGCCUCCCAGCCCGUGAACCUGUUUCGUUUCCUUCUUAUCUCACCCCUCACUCGAGACCCUAGCAUCACAACUCCCUCUCACGAUAGAAGAAGCGGCGGCGGCGACGCGAUUCAGCUUGGAUUCCGGUGCAGCGGAGCGGCUUGGACAGGAGACAGUCUUUUGCAUCUUGUUUGGAACUUCUCUGCCCUUCUGAAGAUUUCUUGCUUGGAGAGGAACGUUGCGACGACAACCCCGGAGACUAAGCAACGGUUAUAGCAGCCUCGCGAAGAUAGGAGUUAACCUGGUCAGCUGUUCCUGUGGGAAAUGGAGUCUCGUAAACGAUGAUGAUCCACAAACCGCUUCCGCCAUC